Molecule: non-coding RNA, 3187 nt
Organism: Coturnix japonica (Japanese quail)
Lineage: Eukaryota; Metazoa; Chordata; Aves; Galliformes; Phasianidae
Source: RefSeq, a predicted model, not a curated record
UAAGGGCAGCCAUAGGUUCCAGCUGGGCAGGGCUAUGGCAGCACACACUGCCAUCCCCACAGCUCCUUCCUGUCACCCCUGAGGAGGGGUCACAGCUGCUGUGAGUCAGCACAGCCUCAUGAGGAGGCGGUUGACACCUUCCUGCCCAUCACCAUGUGCCAGGGCCGGCACCACACACACCCUGCAGGAUCCUCCCGCAGAGGCAGGUAUAGAAAUGGAGAACCUCAAUAUCCCACUCCCAGAUCUCAGUGAAGAACAGCAAGACAUUUUCCGAAGGGCUUUUAUUGCUGAUGACAAUUACUUGGCGAAUCACGAGAAAAUGAGCCAGUCCUUCUGGGAAUCACUUGUAAAAAGCUUAGCUGCUACUGACCCACCUAUCCUGGCUACUGAUGAGAAGAACAAUCUCCUCAACAGGUGCAGUGUUCUGCCUGGGGCCUGUGCAGCCUGCCUGAAAGCCAUAGAGACAAAAGGCGUCAUGGCAAUGGCAGUCCUUUACCUCUUGUUGAAGAGUUCCAACCCACCUGUGUAUCAGCAGCUGCCCAGUUCCAAGGGAAAGGAUGAAAAACUGAAACUCCUCAAGAGAUUGGAAAGAAAUCUCAUGGAUUCACAAGAGGACAAAAAGGCUGAAAACAAAUUGCAGAAAUCCAUGGAUGGAGGCACACACGGUAUACCGGCUGAGGUUGUUCCUUAUGGAGAUUCAGGACUAUCCAGAAGAGAAGAUUCAAUUUCAGAUGCAUAUGGGAACAAGAACAUUCACCCUCAGUGGUGGACAGUACGGUGGAUGGGCAUACGCAAGGAUGAUGAAUUCUUUCAUUUUGUUAUUCUGUGCUUUGCAAUUGGAGCUUUACUAGUUUGCUACUACUACUACAAAGAUUGGACAAUUUCUCUUGGAAUUGGUUUAAUUACCUUUGCUUCUCUGGAAACCACUGGGAUUUACUUUGGUCUAGGUAAGUAUCUACAGCAGCCAGUUCUGUACCAACUACGUCUAACUAUGGAUACAAGGGCAUGCAGUCACUUAACUACACGAGUCCAGAAAAUGGCUACUGCUGAGAUUCUUUAAGCCGUCACUUAACCAUCCUGUCUCAUUCACAAUUUCAGCAUGGCUGAAAACAAACAUGCCUCUGUGGCACUGGAGGCAGAUGUGGUUCUCAGCGGUCACAAGACCCUGAGUCACCUCUUUCUGUAGCAAUGGCAGAAUGCUCUGUUGCCAUGGCAAUGUAUAAUUUUAGCAGUGAGGCAGUCUUUGCAGAUAUGUUCCUUAAGGUGCUGUGCACUUGAGCUGCCAUUUAUUGCCCCGGGACUGAGGCUGCUGAACACCCCAAGGACCAAAUUCCAGCAGAACCUGGAUGAUGGCAGUUAAUAAGAAACAACAGAAAAAAAAACAAAACUCUUGGCUAUCCUUAGGGAUCUCAAAGGAAAGAUGCAGCAAGCAGCAAGGUACGACUUUCAAACUGAGAACAGAAGUCUCUAAGUUUGUGCCACUACAUCUGGUAUGUUGUGGAUGGUUCCAUGCAGAAUUACGCUCAUCACUACACUGCUAUCAGUGAUUUUACAGAAGCACUUAUUUAAACAGUAAUCUUAGGUUCUUUAAUGGUACAACAGGCAUUUGUUUGGCUUCUGCUGUUUUCCACUGUUUUGUGUUUUAUGUUUAUAUCUGGCUUACCUUGGAAAAAAAAUGUGUUUUCACACUUAGUGUAUCGACUGAGGAGCGUGCUCAACACUUUUGUUCCUCUGAUCGACAAGCUCAGGCCAACAGGUAUGAGGAAAGCUGCCUAGGAGCAUUUCUGAAGAAUUCAACAAAACUCUGCUGGCUGAAUUUACAGUACUGAAAGAACUACUUUAUCAGGCAGUCAUAAAAUUGUAAUGGCUAAUACAAAACACUGAAGUGUUAAACAAUAGAAAUAUAUUCAGUCCACUCAAAUAAGUGAAGUUAAAACUGAAGACAUUUGUAGCUCAGCUAAGCUCUUAAGAUUAUUUGGAUCAAAGCUGAUAUUUAAUUAUGCUCAAUAUAAGCACCUUCUCCUUCCCUCCCACCUUUAUUCACAUUAAGUCCAGCUGUAGCAUAAGAAGAUCAACAAAAAGACCUGUACCAUCCUCAGCUGGGUCUGGAUGUUUCAGUAGGAAUCUUGGCACCAGAAAGCCACCUCCUCUUCACCCUUCUGAUGCUGCAAGUCAGGCAAACACCAGCUGCUUGCUUACAUAGUUGAGCUCCAGCAGUGCAAUAGCACUGAAGCAGAUUAAUUUAUUGUGGCAGAACUCAAUAUAGGGGGCAUAUAAUGAUUUCACCCAGUGAAAGCUGGGCAAGAUUUUACAGGCAGUGACAUAAUGGUGCAUUAACAAGAGUGUUAAUAGCAGCAAAUUACAUCUCUUUGAGGAGGAGAGAAUUAAAAUGCUGGGUUGGACCCAUCCCCUCACUUUUUUUACUCCUUUUGAUUAAAAAUACUUAUCUUUCCCCUCUAGCUUAUAGGGACAUGCCAUGCAUUAUAUAAAACACACUAUAAUAUUUUAGUUAUUCUCUUUAGGCUUUAAUCAGUUAUACAUGUAUGUAGGACUAUUGCAAAACAAAGCAAACCAAACAAACUGGUUACCUUCACAUGUUUAGUAAAAACAUAAAGGUCUUCAUAACCACAGGGGAAGGCAUCAAAUCAGACAGAACCAUAAAACUGUAAGAAAAUGCAGAUCUAAAAAGCCAUUAACCCAAAAAGCCCAAUUUUAGUUCAGUGAAACAUUUUCAAGCCUUGCUCAGAAAAACAAAGUCUACUUUUCAGGAGUAGUACUUUACUUUAAGCACCAGUGAUAAAUAUCGUUCUGGACUAUUGCAGUUCUAUUUGCACACUCAUAAACAAUCGUGUGCAGGCCUGUACCAACACAGCACAGCAGUUACGUAACAUGUCAGGGAUUAAAUUAAGCAGUAAAGAUAAAUACAAGUUAUUUUGUAAUAUUUAUAUUCCCAUAUAAAUGUAAUUUUUAUAUAUAUUUGAAGAACUAUUUUCUCCCUUCAAGUUGCUUAUUGUUUUCAGUCUGCAAAUAAAAUCUUGCUGAGACCAGUGUAGGAGUGUUCGUGUACAACAGUUUUUGAGUGAACUGAAAACUCUGUAUACUGCCAUUCUGCUCUCAUUAUUUCAGCUUAUUUUUCUUUUUGUAUGUCUCUUGUGCUGUGACAUAGUCAGAAUGAGAAGCAUAUGAA